GGCNNNGGAGUGCUUACCAUGCAGUCGAACGAUGAAGCCCAGCUUGCUGGGUGGAUUAGUGGCGAACGGGUGAGUAACACGUGAGCAACCUGCCCCUGACUCUGGGAUAAGCGCUGGAAACGGCGUCUAAUACUGGAUAUGUCCCGUCACCGCAUGGUGUGCGGGUGGAAAGAUUUUUCGGUUGGGGAUGGGCUCGCGGCCUAUCAGCUUGUUGGUGAGGUAAUGGCUCACCAAGGCGUCGACGGGUAGCCGGCCUGAGAGGGUGACCGGCCACACUGGGACUGAGACACGGCCCAGACUCCUACGGGAGGCAGCAGUGGGGAAUAUUGCACAAUGGGCGAAAGCCUGAUGCAGCAACGCCGCGUGAGGGAUGACGGCCUUCGGGUUGUAAACCUCUUUUAGCAGGGAAGAAGCGAAAGUGACGGUACCUGCAGAAAAAGCACCGGCUAACUACGUGCCAGCAGCCGCGGUAAUACGUAGGGUGCAAGCGUUAUCCGGAAUUAUUGGGCGUAAAGAGCUCGUAGGCGGUCUGUCGCGUCUGCUGUGAAAUCCCGAGGCUCAACCUCGGGCUUGCAGUGGGUACGGGCAGACUAGAGUGCGGUAGGGGAGAUUGGAAUUCCUGGUGUAGCGGUGGAAUGCGCAGAUAUCAGGAGGAACACCGAUGGCGAAGGCAGAUCUCUGGGCCGUAACUGACGCUGAGGAGCGAAAGGGUGGGGAGCAAACAGGCUUAGAUACCCUGGUAGUCCACCCCGUAAACGUUGGGAACUAGUUGUGGGGUCCUUUCCACGGAUUCCGUGACGCAGCUAACGCAUUAAGUUCCCCGCCUGGGGAGUACGGCCGCAAGGCUAAAACUCAAAGGAAUUGACGGGGACCCGCACAAGCGGCGGAGCAUGCGGAUUAAUUCGAUGCAACGCGAAGAACCUUACCAAGGCUUGACAUACACGAGAACGGGCCAGAAAUGGUCAACUCUUUGGACACUCGUGAACAGGUGGUGCAUGGUUGUCGUCAGCUCGUGUCGUGAGAUGUUGGGUUAAGUCCCGCAACGAGCGCAACCCUCGUUCUAUGUUGCCAGCACGUAAUGUGGACUCAUGGAUACUGCCGGGUCACUCGGAGAAAGGUGGGGAUGACGUCAAUCAUCAUGCCCUAA
RNAcentral lists this ribosomal RNA (1147 nucleotides) under Actinomycetota bacterium. RNAcentral's name for it is "bacterial SSU rRNA". It matches the Rfam family "Bacterial small subunit ribosomal RNA", at positions 38 to 1203 of the family's 1533-position model. Lineage: Bacteria; Bacillati; Actinomycetota. The record is from RNAcentral.